CAGCAACUAAAAAAUCGAGUAUAUUAAUAUAUAAAUGAUGUUGCUUUCAUAAAAUAUUACCAAAAAUGAUCAACAUCAGUUAGUUGCACCGUACAUCAAUGAUGUAAGCUAGUCACAAUAUUGUGUUCAUAAAUAUUUAGCAAAAAACUACAUAUCACUAAUAUCCCUUGAUUGUAAUGUAAAUUUUUUUUGAAAUUCCCAGCAAAAUGAUAGUUAAUCUGUAUGUCUUCAAAAAUUUGCUUCUAGUAAACUUCAAUAUCCAAAAUCUGUAGAAGAAAUAAGAAAUUUCAGUUAGAAAAACUAUAUAUAACAGUGUAGACGGAGCAAAAUCAGGGGUAGACAGAAGAUUAUAAAAAUAACAAAGAAAAAAAAGUAACGAAAAAUUAAUGGCUAGACACCAUUGUUCCCUUUCAUCUGAUUAACUUAGAUUAGUUUGUCAAGAAAAGGUGGAAUGAAGGAAUCAUCAUAAAUAAUAAAGAUUUCAGGAAGAACAAUAGCAGAUCUAAGUACUCGAGUGGUUGCAGAAUUUCCACAUAUAUUGGUUCUAAAUCAUGAGCAAUUUCCUUAACAAACCACUGUCCACCAACACAUCCAAAAACGUAAGCUCAACUUCUAUUGCUCUUUCCUUAAUACCUAUUUUUGGUGAAAUUUUAGUUUUGGGGUGUUUGACAUUCUCUUAUGUCCGAUGAUUUUACGAGCAACCAAACAUCCCCUUUUUUGUACAAAUUUCUCCUCCUUGACCUAUGAGCCCCAAUUUUAAACCCAAUAAUCUUACUUUUAUCACUCACACAAGUAUUCAAAACAACCAAUUGCAGAAAAUAACUAAAGAAACAAAAUAUUGUAGAACCCUGUUUUUAUUUUCUGAUUCAAUCGGGAAAAAAAAGCAUGAAGAAGAAAAAAGAAACAUAACAGAUUAAAGAGAAAGAAAUUAAGCUUACUCUUGAUUAGGCGGAUAAUCUAAUGGUAUAAUUUGUGUGAAGUCGCUUGGAGAGAGAUGAAUUUUCGACACCAACCUUCUGAGUUUUUUGCAACCUUAUGAAUUUUGAUGAAGUUUAGCAGCGCCUCUUAGGGAUUUUGAUGGCCUUCUUUCUAGUUUCGCCUCUUAGGGAUGAAGUUUAGAGAUUUUGUAAAAAUAUUUUGGAAAGAUUUUAGGGUGAAAGUGAAUUUGGAGGGAUUACCGUGAAAUUUUUGGAGCAUUCCCUUUUUUUUUUUUUUUUUACUUUUAGUUUUCAUCAGUUUCGCACCCCAAAAACACAUCAAAAAACGUAAGCUCAACUUCUAUUACUCUUUCCCUAAUACCUAUUUUUGGUAAAAUUUUAGUUUUGGGGUGUUUGACAUUCUCUGAUGUCCGAUGAUUUUACGAGCAAUCAAACAUCCCCUCUUUUGUACAAAUUUCUCCUCCUUGACCUAUGAGCCCCAAUUUUAAACCCAAUAAUCUUACUUUUAUCACUCAUACCAGUAUUCAAAACAACCAAUUGCAGAAAACAACUAAAGAAACAAAAAAUUGUAGAACCUUAUUUUCAAUUUCUGAUUCAAUCAGCUUAAAAAAGCGCAAAGAAGAAAAAAAAGAAACAUAACGGAUUAAAGAGAAAGAAAUUGAGCUUACUCUUGAUUAGGCGGAUAAUCUAAUGGUAUAAUUUGUGUGAAGUCGCUUGGAGAGAGAUGAAUUUUCGACACCAACCUUCUAAGUUCUUUGCAACCUUAUGAAUUUUGAUGAAGUUUAGCAUCACCUCUUAGGGAUUAUGAUGGCCUACUUUUUAGUUUCGCCUCUUAGGGAUGAAGUUUAGGGAUUUUGUGAAAGUAUUUUGGAGGGAUUUUAGGGUGAAAGUGAAUUUGGAGGGAUAUGAAAUAUUUGAAGCAUUCCCCCUUUUUUUUUACUUUAGUUUUCAUCAGUUU
RNAcentral lists this long non-coding RNA (1896 nucleotides) under Nicotiana tabacum (common tobacco). Its description in RNAcentral is "long non-coding RNA (NTAB_LNC006472)". Lineage: Eukaryota; Viridiplantae; Streptophyta; Magnoliopsida; Solanales; Solanaceae. The record is from RNAcentral.